UCCGUAGGCGGGCGUCUAAGUCAGUGGUGAAAUCUUACAGCUCAACUGUAAAAUUGCCAUUGAUACUGGAUGUCUUGAAUUAGUGUGAAGUGGUUAGAAUGUGUAGUGUAGCGGUGAAAUGCAUAGAUAUUACACAGAAUACCAAUUGCGAAGGCAAAUCACUAACACUAUAUUGACGCUGAGGGACGAAAGCGUGGGGAGCGAACAGGAUUAGAUACCCUGGUAGUCC
This 229-nucleotide ribosomal RNA is filed under the name uncultured bacterium. RNAcentral describes it as "partial 16S ribosomal RNA". It matches the Rfam family "Bacterial small subunit ribosomal RNA", at positions 568 to 796 of the family's 1533-position model. The record is from RNAcentral.